Molecule: long non-coding RNA, 521 nt
Organism: Solanum dulcamara
Lineage: Eukaryota; Viridiplantae; Streptophyta; Magnoliopsida; Solanales; Solanaceae
Exons: 3
Source: RefSeq, a predicted model, not a curated record
CUCUUCUCUUCUCUGCUCUAGAAUAAUCAGUUGUUGAGAGUAGAAACAUCCGGAGGUCAUCAAAAUUUCUAUAUAAGGCUUUCAAAGAUUACCUUUCAGCUCUCUUCCUCUUAGCUGUCGUGUGUUUCAAUUUCAAGUUUGCUUCUCUUUCAGUUUGUGCUCAAAUCUUCUUAUAUUGGACAAUGAUAGACUAAUAUCCCUUCCUUGUGGGCUCAUUGAUGAAGCUACAGUUUAGAAAAUUUUCGACAAGGGGAUGAGGUCCUCAGGAGGGUUUAUUGGAUUGAUUUUUCUUAACACUAGUCAGUAAAUAGAUUGUUUAGUUCCAUCCGAAUUAUCAAAGUCAGGUUCUUGAAUUGCUUUGGUAGCUCUUCAUUUAUAUUGUUCUUUUGUAAUUUUCCACUUCAAGCUGAAUUUAUUGUAAUUAUGUGAGUAUAAAAUUAGCAUAUUAUAGAGAUAUGAAGUUUAGCAAUAGUAUUAUAGAUUAUUGUUUUGUUAAUCUAAGGCAAAUUGAUGAAUACAAA